This 468-nucleotide ribosomal RNA is filed under the name uncultured bacterium. RNAcentral's name for it is "partial 16S ribosomal RNA". It matches the Rfam family "Bacterial small subunit ribosomal RNA", at positions 28 to 507 of the family's 1533-position model. The record is from RNAcentral.
GACGAACGCUGGCGGCGUGCUUAACACAUGCAAGUCGAACGGAAAGGCCCUGCUUUUGUGGGGUGCUCGAGUGGCGAACGGGUGAGUAACACGUGAGUAACCUGCCCUUGACUUUGGGAUAACUUCAGGAAACUGGGGCUAAUACCGGAUAGGAGCUCCUGCUGCAUGGUGGGGGUUGGAAAGUUUCGGCGGUUGGGGAUGGACUCGCGGCUUAUCAGCUUGUUGGUGGGGUAGUGGCUUACCAAGGCUUUGACGGGUAGCCGGCCUGGGAGGGUGAACGGCGACAAUGGGACUGAGAGACGGCGCAGACUGCUACGGGAGGCAGCAGUGGGGAAUAUUGCACAGUGGGCGGAAGCCUGAUGCAGCAGCGCCGCGUGCGGGAUGACGGCCUUCGGGUUGUAAACCGCUUUCGCCUGUGACGAAGCGUGAGUGACGGUAAUUGGUAAAGAAGCACCGGCUAACUACGUG